GACGAACGCUGGCGGCGUGCUUAACACAUGCAAGUCGAACGGAAAGGCCUGCUUUCCCUUGUGGAUUGCGGGUACUCGAGUGGCGAACGGGUGAGUAACACGUGAGUGAUCUGCCCCCAACUUGGGUAUAAGCCUGGGAAACUGGGUCUAAUUCCCGAUAGGACUGCAGGGUGGUGCCUGUGGUGGAAAACGAUUUUCUAGUGGUUGGGGAUGAGCUCGCGGCCUAUCAGCUUGUUGGUGGGGGAAUGGCCUACCAAGGCGGCGACGGGUAGCCGGCCUGAGAGGGUGGACUGCACCAUUGGGACUGGGAUACGGCCCAGACUCCUACGGGAGGCAGCAGUGGGGAAUAUUGCACGAUGGGCGGAAGCCUGAUGCAGCGACGCCGCGUGGGAGAUGACGGCCUUCGGGUUGUAAACUCCUUUCGACCGCGAGGAAGCCACCUGGUUGGAAGGGUGGUGACGGUAGUGGUAGAAGAAGCACCGGCUAACUACGUG
RNAcentral lists this ribosomal RNA (494 nucleotides) under uncultured bacterium. RNAcentral's name for it is "partial 16S ribosomal RNA". It matches the Rfam family "Bacterial small subunit ribosomal RNA", at positions 28 to 507 of the family's 1533-position model. The record is from RNAcentral.